This 2863-nucleotide long non-coding RNA is filed under the name Anneissia japonica. RNAcentral's name for it is "uncharacterized LOC117105408". Lineage: Eukaryota; Metazoa; Echinodermata; Crinoidea; Comatulida; Comatulidae. The record is from RNAcentral.
GCCGUUUGCACACAAACUGAUCAGAGAGACUUAAACUCGUCAUGCGAACGCCGAACAGACGCAACAGAAAUAACGAAAUACGGUACUUGAUUCUAUCGUCGUGCAGAAUUCAUCAUGAUUUUAUCUAGAUUGCUCCUCCCUUACAGUUUCGUUAUUAUUUUAGUGACAAUUCAAGCCGAUAAUUUGAAUGAUGAACAAAACAGAAAAAGGCGGGAAGAUAGUGAGGGUUUGUUGAGGGAGAAACGAAUGGAAGAGGUAGCCGUAGAAACGGAAUUGCCGGAAUUGAAUCGUGUCAAAAGACUGGAUUCAUUGAAGACGCUUCACGAUGUACUGGGUAACAAACGUGUUCGUCGCAUGGUAGAAGAUCCGAGCUUAUUAAAACGAAGCAUCCAUUCAAUGGCUGAACUUCAGAAAGAUGCGAAGAUGAGAAGGAUCAAGAAAAUGGGUUGGAUGUAUUCAAAAUGAACGAAGAGUAAGCAAUUAACAAUACGCUUAGUUAAAAAAAUAUAGGCUUUGAGGUAGAAAAUAUGAAAACACCCUCAAAAAUUUAAUUUAAAAUAAUUGUUUAUUUAAAAGGAGUUAAUAUACUUUCAAUAAUAUAAAGAUAAAAAUAUUGUUUUUAUGGAUUUACAUGUGUUCCACUACAAGAAUAUUUAAAUUGAGUAUCAGCCAAUUUACGAAUUUAAAACAUAAGAACUUCUGAUUAUAUGUUUUGUCUGUUUCAUAUUUUUCAAGUUUGUUUAGCUUGUCACAUGUCCAGAGAGCAUUAUGUUGAACCAGGGGAGGAUUUAGGGAGGGGUACGGGGUGGGGAUGGGGUGGGCACACGUUCCUCCCGGUUUUGCCACAGCCCUCUUUUAUUUUUUAAACAGAAAAAAUACAAAAUGGCAUACAUAAAUACUAAAUGUUACAAUUCAAUAUUUUGUAUCAGCAUAUACCAUAGAGAAAAUAGAAUCUGUUCUAUUUUCUCUAUGCAUAUACUGACAUUAUUGGAUACUUAUUUAUCUGUGACGGUAUAAAUACACAUAUAGACCAUAUAUAAAAUUAGUGCUCCUCUCGUUAAAAAAAUUCUGAAUCCGCUCCUUUAUUUAAUAGGUAAAGUGAAAUAUGGGAUAAUUAAUUUCGCACAUUGUUUUAAUCAAUCAAUCAAGGGCUAGAAUAUGCAAUAUUGUCCCAGACAGAACUGGCAAAAGAAUUCACAGUGCAUCAAACUAUGAGACCGGAAAUACAGUAAGUUUAAAAAUGAAAAAAAAACUUUGUAUAUGAUAUAGGCCUAUGAUUAUAUACAUAUUCUGAAACUGUUCACUGGUUAUAGAAUGUUCUUGAAUCAUUGCUCCGAUUUUGUCAUCACCGCGUUCUAGUUCUGAUGACGUCACAGAGUAUUUGGCCAACUGUGACGAAUUACGUGUAGGCCUCUAAUUGUAAUUUUGUUGUAAAUAUCAUUUUUAUAUAGAUAUUAGAUUUUUACCUAGAUACAAGAACCACGUGAUUUUAAAGUGUACCCUCUUGUCACUGUAUUGUUAGUGUUCUUUAACUAAUUAAUAUUAUGAAGACAUUUGUCUGCAAUUCGAAGCAGAUGAUAAAAGGCCGUUUGGGAGUUAAGAGUGCAAUAAUAUGUAUAAAAACGUUAUCACAAUUGAUUUUAAAUUUAGUGUGAUACUUUCAGGAAUUAAGUUGUACAUACACUAGAUAGAUUUGGAAAUGUUUUAGAUGUUUACCUCGUAGGCCUGGGAUGAUAACACACUUUAUAUAUUUUGUUAAGUAUAAACGGCUCUACAAUGCAUAGAAUAGACGAUUCGCGAUUGAUUGAAAAUUAAGGAAAAUAUGAUGUUAUUUUAUUAUUUUUUUUACGAACAAGAAAUAUCUGGUUUUGCAAUUAUUAUUUACCUGUUGAAAUUGAGUGUUAUCCAUGAAUACCUAAAGUGAUUAAUUACCAUGUUAACAUGUUUAGACUCAUAGGCCUACAAUUUGUGCAAAUAACUUAUAGAAAAUUAAUAGAAAUUUGAAUGAAACUGUAGCAGUCAGUUAGCACUAUUCAGGCUACUGAACUUCAUACUGAAUUUCUGUUAGUUUUUCCUAAUUUAUACAGAAAAUCCGUUAUUCAGUAGUUGAUAGACUGUAUGAUGAUUAAGAUUAUCGGAAUGAUAUUAAAAUAUUCAAUUAUUGUAUAGUAUUCCAUUAUGAGCGUUUUGCUUGUGGCCGUAUUGUUACGCAGUAUGGCUGGCAGGAUACGUUUAGCUGUGUUUAUGAUCCCUGUAGCGUCAUGACGGUAAUAAAUAAUGAGAAAAUUAAUGUAUAUUGUGUUUCUAAACGUUGUUCAAAUUUACCUAAUAUUAAUGUUGUUGAAUUAAUUGUAAUUUUCUCAUGAAGAAAAUCAAUUGGAAUACAGGAAACGUAAUGAAUUGUUAUUAGAUAAUGAGAAGUACAAUAAUACUAUGGAAAUAAGGUUAUAUUGAAGAAAUAUCAUGGAGAAAAAAUUAUAAAUUCGACGUUUCGCCUGUGAUACCAACAAGCCUUAAUUAUCAGUGUAUACAGGGUUUACGGUAUAUGAUACACAUGCAUUUAUAAUAAUAUAGUAUAGGGCCUAUUACAUCAUCUGAAGGGGACAGUACUCGUAGUCGUUGAGUUGUGGAUAGGGGUCUUUGGUGUGUGGGAAAGGUGUGAGAGGGGCUGUAUGUUCGGUUAAUUAGACAAUGUUUUCGUUUCUUUUUCGAUAUUCUCAUUAUCAUAAUUACGUACCCAGUGUCAUUCGCAUCGUUAAAUAUUAAAAAUAAGUGUACUAUCUUAGAUUUUAUGUGAUUACCACGAGGAUUAGAAAUCGAUGCACGGUAUUUUUGACAAAUAAAUCGUUUCCCAUAAACUAGA